Molecule: non-coding RNA, 485 nt
Organism: Chiloscyllium plagiosum (whitespotted bambooshark)
Lineage: Eukaryota; Metazoa; Chordata; Chondrichthyes; Orectolobiformes; Hemiscylliidae
Source: RefSeq, a predicted model, not a curated record
UGAAUGUCAGAAUUUAUGCUCCAAGCAAUGUUUCCGGGAGCAGAGCAUUACUGGAACACAAUGUCAUCUGUGUUUCUUAAGGGGCAGAAUCUCCGAAGCACCAGAAGAACAGAGAAGAAAAUGAGGAAAAUCACAUGAAAUGGGCACUUUAAAGCUUCUUUACUUUGACAACAAUGAGUUCCACUUUCCAAUUGACUGCUGAAGGAUAAGUGUAUAUAAAGUUGAGAAACCUUGGAGAGAAACUGCACUAUUGGAAGAGGAAACGACCAAAGCUGAGAAAGGAAGAGAGAACGGAUGGAAAUCAAGGCCCAGGAAUUGGAUCGUACUCAAUCCCAGUGAGGGCAGGCUUUACACACUCAGAUCAAGACUGGCGAUAGAUACACGACAAAGUGGAAAGGAAGAAUGAGAAAAGGAUAGAAUAAGAGAAAGGCUUGCAGUGAUAUAGUGCCUUUCAUGACAAUGUAUGAGCUAUAAGGACAGGCUUG